UGUCAUCUGACCUUGACCUCAUUUUCAUGGUUCAGUGGUCAAAGUUAAGUUUUUAUACGACCGCUAAAAUUGAAAAAUUUUUGGUCGUAUAUUGGUAUCACGUUGGCGUCAGUGUCCGAAGACUUUUGAUUUUCGCGCUUUAACUUGGUAUAAGUGAAUAGAAAUCUAUGAAAGGAGUAGGUCCGGUAAGGACCGAUUUUGGCCUCAAAUUUCAGGUUCAUCUGACGAAAGAUUUUGACCACUUUUUAAAUACUUGCGUGUCUAUUUCUUUUGAAUCAAUAAGUUUGUGAAAGAUUUUAACUGCUUUGGUCAUUAAAAAUUAUUUCAAUUGCUCUGAAAUUGUACCACAAUGUUUAAUACCACAAGUAAAAGGUUUGGAUUCAUUUUGUGGGUUCUGGUGCAAACAGUUAAGGUAAUAAGGGCCAAAAACUAGCCUUUUUGUAGUUUCUGGACAAUAACUUGUGUGUAAGUUUAUGGAUCUCUCUUGCAUUGAUUGUACCACAAGGUUCCAUAUCACAAAAGGAAGGCUGGGAUUGAGUUUGGGGGUAAUUGCCCAUUCAUGCGGGAAUUAGAGCCAGAAACAAGCAUUUUUGUAGUUUCUGGACAAUAACUUGUGUUUAAGAAUAUGGAUCUAUUUUAAAUCGUACUAUAAAAUCCCAUACUGCAAAGGAAAGGCUGGGUUUGAGUGUGGGGGUAAUUGCCCAGAUAGG
RNAcentral lists this long non-coding RNA (710 nucleotides) under Mytilus galloprovincialis (Mediterranean mussel). Lineage: Eukaryota; Metazoa; Mollusca; Bivalvia; Mytilida; Mytilidae. The record is from RNAcentral.